RNAcentral lists this ribosomal RNA (448 nucleotides) under uncultured organism. RNAcentral's name for it is "partial 16S ribosomal RNA". It matches the Rfam family "Bacterial small subunit ribosomal RNA", at positions 331 to 796 of the family's 1533-position model. The record is from RNAcentral.
GUACACUCCUACGGGAGGCAGCAGUGGGGAAUAUUGGACAAUGGGCGCAAGCCUGAUCCAGCCAUGCCGCGUGAGUGAUGAAGGCCCUAGGGUUGUAAAGCUCUUUCACCGGUGAAGAUAAUGACGGUAACCGGAGAAGAAGCCCCGGCUAACUUCGUGCCAGCAGCCGCGGUAAUACGAAGGGGGCUAGCGUUGUUCGGAUUUACUGGGCGUAAAGCGCACGUAGGCGGACUAUUAAGUCAGGGGUGAAAUCCCGGGGCUCAACCCCGGAACUGCCUUUGAUACUGGUAGUCUUGAGUUCGAGAGAGGUGAGUGGAAUUCCGAGUGUAGAGGUGAAAUUCGUAGAUAUUCGGAGGAACACCAGUGGCGAAGGCGGCUCACUGGCUCGAUACUGACGCUGAGGUGCGAAAGCGUGGGGAGCAAACAGGAUUAGAUACCCGAGUAGUCC